This 700-nucleotide ribosomal RNA is filed under the name uncultured bacterium. RNAcentral describes it as "bacterial SSU rRNA". It matches the Rfam family "Bacterial small subunit ribosomal RNA", at positions 94 to 826 of the family's 1533-position model. The record is from RNAcentral.
AGUGGCAAACGGGUGAGUAAUGUAUAGGAAUCUGCCUUAUAGUGGGGGACAACAGCUGGAAACGGCUGCUAAUACCGCAUAAUACCAUUUAUGGGAAAGUCGCAAGACGCUAUUUGAUGAGCCUGUAUCCGAUUAGCUUGUUGGUGGGGUAAUGGCCCACCAAGGCAAUGAUCGGUAGCCGGUCUGAGAGGACGAUCGGCCACACUGGAACUGAGACACGGUCCAGACUCCUACGGGAGGCAGCAGUGGGGAAUAUUGGGCAAUGGACGAAAGUCUGACCCAGCAACGCCGCGUGGGGGAUGAAGGCCUUAGGGUUGUAAACUCCUUUUAUUAGGGAAGAUAAUGACGGUACCUAAUGAAUAAGCAUCGGCUAACUUCGUGCCAGCAGCCGCGGUAAUACGAAGGAUGCUAGCGUUACUCGGAAUUACUGGGCGUAAAGUAUGCGUAGGCGGGCUUUUAAGUUGAUAGUGUAAUCCCCAAGCUUAACUUAGGAAUUGCUAUCAAAACUGAUUGCCUAGAAUAUGAAAGAGAGUAAGGGAAUUCCUGGUGUAGGGGUAAAAUCCGUAGAUAUCAGGAGGAAGACCGGAAGCGAAAGCGCUUACUUGGUUCAUUAUUGACGCUGAGGCAUGAGAGCGUGGGGAUCGAACAGGAUUAGAUACCCUGGUAGUCCACGCUGUAAACGAUGAGUGCUAAUUCUGGG